CCAUACUUGUAGAGUUGAUAGAUAGAUAGAUAGAUAGAUAGAUAGAUAGAUAAAUAGAUAGAUAGAUAGAUAGAUAGAUAGAUAGAUAGAUAGAUAGAUAGGGGUGCCAAUACUUGUAGAAUAGAUAGAUAGAUAGAUAGAUAGAUAGAUAGAUAGAUAGAUAGAUAGAUAGAUAGGGUGCCAAUACUUGUAGAGUUGAUAGAUAGAUAGAUAGAUAGAUAGAUAGAUAGGGUGCCAAUACUUGUAGAAUAGAUAGAUAGAUACAUAGAUAGAUAGAUAGAUAGAUAGAUAGAUAGAUAGAUAGAUAGAUAGAUAGAUUCUGGCCAAAGGUCGGUUCAGAUUAUUUGAGAGUAUAAAGAAAGAAAGAAAAUAAAUUCUGGUACAUUAAACAUGGCAGAUUAUUCUAAAACAAAUAUUCAAUCAAACAAGC
Molecule: long non-coding RNA, 430 nt
Organism: Ictalurus punctatus (channel catfish)
Lineage: Eukaryota; Metazoa; Chordata; Actinopteri; Siluriformes; Ictaluridae
Source: Ensembl